Molecule: ribosomal RNA, 513 nt
Filed under: Plectosphaerella cucumerina
Lineage: Eukaryota; Fungi; Ascomycota; Sordariomycetes; Glomerellales; Plectosphaerellaceae
Description: eukaryotic LSU rRNA
Rfam family: 5.8S ribosomal RNA (bases 129-282)
Source: RNAcentral
CCCUCUCUACCCUUUGUGACUAUUAUACCUGUUGCUUCGGCGGCGCCCGCGAGGGUGCCCGCCGGUCUCAUCAGAAUCUCUGUUUUCGAACCCGACGAUACUUCUGAGUGUUCUUAGCGAACUGUCAAAACUUUUAACAACGGAUCUCUUGGCUCCAGCAUCGAUGAAGAACGCAGCGAAACGCGAUAUGUAAUGUGAAUUGCAGAAUUCAGUGAAUCAUCGAAUCUUUGAACGCACAUGGCGCCUUCCAGUAUCCUGGGAGGCAUGCCUGUCCGAGCGUCGUUUCAACCCUCGAGCCCCCGUGGCCCGGCGUUGGGGAUCUGCCACGGCAGGCCCCUAAAACCAGUGGCGGACCCGAAGGCCCUCUCCUUUGCGCAGUAGCAUCAGCCUCGCAUUGGGAUCCCUCGGCGUCCUGCCUCUAAACCCCCCACAAGUCCGCUCCGGCGGCACCAAGGUUGACCUCGGAUCAGGUAGGAAUACCCGCUGAACUUAAGCAUAUCAAUAAGCGGAGGA